CACAGAAUUUUUUUAUUAGCCAAAUUCUAAGGUCUUCCUCUAGUUUAGCCUUCUUUUCAAAUGUUCUCAAGGUUCAAUUCUGGCUAGUCCAUGCAAGGACAGAGGCUCUCACGAAUCAGGGCUCAUGGGGGAGGGUGAACCAGGGCUGGAUGCAGACCCCACGGUGCUCUUUCUUUUUGCCAGGAGAUCAACUGAGAAUCUCUGAGCUCUCACGUGCUAUCCUCAGUUACAACUGAGAUCUUGUCAUACUAUUAACACCUUAAAAAUGAUGUGACCCAGGAAGAAAAUAAAGAACCAAACUUUAUUUUCAAACUUUAACAAUGGUUUAGGGAAACCUGAAUGGGGAAAUGUUGGUUUCUAUGCUUGGCCCCACUCAGCAGAGGAGGUGCCAGGCACGUCUACUUUUACCCUCUGCUCCUCAGGCUGCGCAUCCGUGGAGCAGAGCCACCCACAGAAAUCACAGGUAGAAUUGCAAAGUGACGUCUGAGUGGUUGCUUUAUGGGAUGACACUUAUGAGCUAGUAUUUAUGAGAAAGUAAAAUAAUUUCAGAUGAUAUGCAUGGGAGUAUUUGAGAAAUAUCUAUUGUUCUGAAAUAAGAAAGCAGCAUAUACUUUGUUAGGAAGCCUCUGGUUAUAUGAUUGAUAGCAGAAUAGACAUUCCCCAUCAGAGAAGAGGCUGGCUGGACUUGACAUUCUGUUAGAUUCCUUGGACAGGACUUGAUAGUUUUGCAACAUUAAAAUAUGCUCAUUUGCAUCUUCCUCAGGAACAUCUGGAGAGGGAAAAAAAGUGGCUUUGGAAAGCUGUUCAGCUCACAGAGCACUGAGGCUGAGCAAACAUUCCGGCUUUCCCUGGCUGGCCAUCACUCACACCCAAUGUAUUUAUUCUUUUUCUGCAAUGAGAGAGCAACAUUUGGAAGAGCUCAAGCUGCUGAGUUAAUCAUCGAGACGCCACAGGGAUGUUUUCAGCUACGGGGCUGCCCACCUCACAUGAUUUGGAAUCAGCACAGCCACCACGCUGAGUGAGGCAAGCAUCAUGGCUUGUCCGAUGUGGGGGAAAUCACAUUUGCUGCCUUUCAGAUUUCCUAUCUCUGUUUAAAGCAUCAAUGCCAAGAGCAGGAACUUGCCAGUAUUUCCAUGAGUCAUUGGUUUCAACUCAGCGUUGGCCCCAAAAGAUUUUUACCUAACAUGGAUACAUGCUUCUCUUUUUAUCUUAUUGUGUAAUUUUACUCUUUUUUCCAAAUAUGCUGGGACUCAGAAGAUGGAUUUUACCUGGUUAUUGUUGAGUUGUGGUAGAGCCUUCUCAAGUCAUUUUCUAGAUCCACAACUCCCUCCCCUCUUCCCAACACCUACUUAAGCCCUCUAAAGCCAAUAACAUUUCACUACCAAAGAUACGCUGCAUUCCACCUCUUCUUUUUGCUUGUAGGUGAAGUCACCAUUUGACAUCUGACCCUGAAGAGAAUGGUGCCUUACCUUAUAUUUGGUACACAAAUGUUUAUCUUUGCUGUUCUCCGUAGCAGCAGUUACUAUAGACUUCUUUUACAUAUUUAUAUUCAGCUAGAAAGUCAGAUUUAAAGAUAGGGCACAAAUAGGCUGGUAAAAUAGGUUGCCCAGAACAUGGCGUUUUCAGAAGUUAAAAGUCCUAAAAGAUCAAAUGAGAUGCUGAUUGUCCAAAGUUGGCUUGGGAGUUAUUGAGACUCUACCAAAAAGUUAAAAAAUAAGUCAAAAUCAAGCUAUGUCUGGGAAAAAUUACUUUCUCAUGUUGUGUUUGAGAGCUAAGUGCAGCCCUUUCCAUUUUAGCCUGUAAAGCAGCAUUGUGAUGAUGACGGUGAUGGUGAUGGUGAUGGUGAUGGUGAUGGUGAAGACAUGGGCAAGUAUUCAUGGAAAUUAAUGUCCAGAUUUUUGGAAGUUCCCUAUAGAUCUCCCAUAGCAUAGUUGAAUCUGAAGUGUUUAGGGGGCUUCAGUUAUCUGGGUAGUGGCUUCAGACCUCCACUUUGUGUGGUAAAGGCCAAAGAGUCAAGUCUGUGUUUCUACUAACAGGUGAUGGUAACGAAGACCAAGAUGCUGGGGGCAACAAAUGGAAGAAGUGUUAAAGAGAUUAUUUCUACCUUUCCUUUCCAGUCAGGAAAAGAACUCACACGGCAGAGGAGACUGUUUUCAAAAUCAAUCCUUCAUAUUUAAAAGAGAGAUCCAUCCUCCCCAGGAGGUGCAAACACCAUCGUUCCAACCGAGACCUCCAUCUCCUCAGAUCAUAAAGCUCUUAAGCAAUGGUACAUUCUGGGAAGGGAGUUCUGGUAAUGUGGAAGGUGAAAGUGAUAUAAAGGAAGGUUGGAGGCAAGAGAUCAUUCAGCAUACCAUUCUCAAUAGACAAGGCUCAUCAAUUCGCCAUCACCUUUGUGUGGCACAGCCCACAUAAGCUCUUAUCCUAACAGCUUCCAGAGGAGGGCACUGUCAUAAGAGGACAAUAGAAAUGCCAGCUGCACAUAUAAGUAUUAGCAGCAUAAUUUAUGUUUCUCUUCCCAUCUACUCUCUCUCACACAUGGGCACUUCUUAGAGGAGGUGUGGUCGCUCAUCCUUUUGGGCCAACCUUUGAGAAAGUGUAAAUCAACUUAUUUGGACUAAAAUCUCUAUAGAAGAUGAAUAUUAAUUAAAAGGCUGUUCAAAUCAUUGCAAACCAUGAGAAGAAUCCAGCUCUUUCAAAGUUCAGUGUAAGCAGGAUUAAACUCUUUUGACUGGAUUGUUUAUUAAAGAUUUAGUUGUAUGAGAUUGAAAGAAAUCAGGCUGGAACAUGAAGUCCACGAGGGUAGUUUCUUUGUCUGUUUUAGUCACAGCUCUGUCCUUAAGUAUCUAGCACAAUGACUAACACAUAAAAAGUGCUUAGUAAAUAUCUGUUGAAGUAAUGAUUGUAUAAGACAAAUGACACAAUUCAAACUGCCUGAUCCCAACCCCGUGCCCCUGAUGUCUCCUCCCUUGCUCACUGUUACACACACACCCUCUGCCCAUUCACCCCUUGCCCCUAGGUCAUUUGCCAGUGGGUAGACAAGUAAGGGGUGGGGAGAAAGAUUUGACAUUUUGUAAGCACUCUUCAAGAAAAGCAUCCCUGUCAGGGCCAGGCCAUGGGCAGCUUGAUACAGUGUCCUUUUGGCCUGUACAUCUUCCUGCCUGGGGAUCAUGUUGGCGGAUGCCGAAUGGUUGUCCCUGGGGUGCCACUUCAGAGUAAGAGAGUGUGUCGGUUUCCUAGGGCUGCUGUAACGAAGCAUCAGAAGCUACGGUGGCUUAAAAUAGCAUAGCUUUAUUGUCUCAUAGUGCUGGAGGCCAGAAGACCCAAAUCAAGGCACCAGCCAGGCCGUGCUCUCCUGAUGGCAGUGAGGGAGACUCUCCUGGCAUCUUCCAGCUUCUGCUGUUCGCUGGCCGUCCGUGGCACCCCAUGGCCUGGAGAUGCCUCACUCCAGUCACAUGGCUGCCUUCUUCCUGCGCCUUCCUGUAGUCUUCCCUCUGGGCAUGUCUCUCUCUGUACCCACAUUUCUCCUUUUCAUAAGACACCAGGCAUGUUCAGUUAGGGCCCACCUUAAAGACCUCAUUUUAACUUCAUGACCUCUGUAAAGGCCUCUUUCCAAGUGCAGUCACAUUCUGAGGUACUGGGGGUUAGGACUUAAGCAUCUCUUUUAAAUACACAAUUUAACCCAUAACAGAGGGCCAUGUGCAGUCCAGAAGAUGGUAAUGGGAUAUUUUCAGGUCUGGGCAGAGAGGUCAAUAAUAAUUGAAUCAUUCCUAUCAUUUCUUGUAGCCUGCAUUCUUGCAAUUCCCACUUCAAAUGACUGUUAAUACAUAAUGCUGUCUGACUAUUCUCUGAUCAUUCCUUGUGCUUAGUAAUUUCUCUGUCACUUCCAUCCCUUCAAUGGGCAUUCUAUCCAAACAUCCUACCUAAAUUGCACCCUAGUCUUUUUGCUCUGUUUGCGCACCAGGCAACUUGCUUUCAGUUACAUUUGUUCUUUGGUCUUACUACAUAGGGAUGAUUGUCUACUUUAUGUAACUGGUCCUGUGACACACUUGGGCCAAUUCAUUCUAAGAGUUAGCUAUUUUAUUAGGAACAAUGAUAUCGAAAGGUCAUAUGAAUUUAUUUUGUUAUUUUAUUUCAAAGUAAUUUAUUGUUUUGGCAUUCACAUAGAGUAUGUAAUAAAGGUAACAUAGUCCUUGUUACAUAGACAUUGUCUAUUUUGCUUUGAAACACAAAAUGCUGAAAACAUUCAGCACUCCUCAGCUGGGUUUAUCUCUAGGCUAUGCAGGAUGGAUUGGUUUGAUGAAUAAAACACAUUUGUGCUUUAUAAGUCAUUUCUCCUUUUUUGGAAAUUGUUUAGUAUAGUUGUGAUAAAUUUGCUAAUUUAGAUGUCUUGCAAAGCAUCAAAGUCUCAGAACAAAAUGCCUCUUAUAAUAUCAUGGAACAUUGUCCCCAGGGUCUACUCUACAUCUAUAAUUCAACUAAAAAGAAAUGUAGAAAGAAGAUAUAUUACUGAUGAUUAAUUAAAUAUUUUUUAAAAUUAAAAAUUCUUAUCAUUUCUGUUGAGCAGAAAAGCUCCAACUCCAGAGAAGGACUCCAUAUAAAUGUCCUCAGCCAGAAGGGACAAGAACAGAUGAAUGGCUUUCUUCACACUUCUUGUUGGGUGAAUCAGUCAUGCUGCAGGGUCAUUUCAAGUUUGCCAUUUUUGUACAAAAUCACUUAAUAAAUUGAUUGGCACCUUAUCUUGGUGUCAGUGUCACUCCACUUUUAGAGAUGUCCAAACUGUUUAAAUAUCAAAAACAAACUAUGGAGGACAACUUAGUGAGAAAAGGUUUGUACUAGCCAAAGAUCAAAGGGAGACAGCUGACUGCUGUGUAUAUGUGCUGUUACCAGAGAAGAAGUACAGUGAUUUAGUCAGUGCACAUGGUUAGAGAUUCUUGGCUGGCCUCAGUGAACAGGGAAAGCAGUUAGAGAAGAUGCCAGGACAAGCAUGUACAGAAAAUUAGAAUGACAUAUCCUAAGGAAAACAAGAUUUUCAGCAUUACGAAGGUGACUAUUAGAAUGCACUUCAGGUGAACUAUUUUUUAGAAAAUUAAUGACCCCAAUUAUGGGCAUGUUAAAGGAAAAAAAAUCCUUUGAAGUGGACAAGUGUUACAAAAUAUGAAGCAAAAUAUCAUUACAUUAACAAUAUGAUACUUUACUUUGGCAUAGAUAGGAAGUUUAAAAGAGCUGUCAAUAAAUUGUCAGUCCAUCUUGAAAAGAGAAGGCUCCUGUGGCCAAAUUUUAAUUUAUGAGUAUUUUAUUAAGUUGGGCUUAGUGUCUGAGUUUUCCACACAUGGUCAGUUAGUGAAUGUGUAAUGUAUUUGUUUAUUUACUUUAUUGCAGAUAUUCUGGGGAAGAUAUAGAUAAAAUAUUUAAAAGAAGCAGUAUGAGAAAUAGCAUUCUCCUUUAACUUAUAUGGGUUAUCUUGGAUGAUUUAAUCAUAAACUAGUGUAUACAGAAAAAUAUUUUAUGACAUAAACUGUUUUCAGACCGAAAAGCAGGAUUUGACUAUAACUUUAAGUAGUCUCCCAAAUUAAAUGUUUUUUUUUAAUCUGACACUCUUCUUGAUAAAGUUGUAAGAGGACAUUGUACAUGUUCACUUUUUCUUUAAAGUGGUCGCUUUAAAAACACAAAGCACUCGUUGUGCGAAGCCUAGCCAUGGAAGGAGGGACUGGGUAUGAUGACUUCAGCCCAUGUUCUGGCUGCACUUGUCUACAGAGGAUGCUCAGACUUGGGUUAGGCAAAGUUAAAAGUCGUAAGGAAAGCAAACUGUGAGCAGCUGUUCCCCAAGUUAUUAUGUGUUUGGUUUGGACUUCUACUUCCAUGAAUUCCUAGGAUUCAUUUGCAAAACGGUAAGUGAAUUGCCUACUUCAAGUAUGAACAAAGCAUCCAAGGAAAAGAAUCUUUCAAAGUCAUAUGACAUGGCCUUUUAUAAAAUCUCCAGCAACAGAGUCCGCAUGCCUGCAAUGCCAUCCUGUAUGCCAUCUGACUUAAAAAAAUUUGUAUUGACAUUGGUAUUCUUCAGAAGGUGUAAACUAUAAGAGUAGGGAUUCUGUCCUACUGACUCUAGCAUUUAAUGUAGUGUCAGGCACCUAAUAGGUGUUCAAAACGUGCCAAAUAUUCGCCCUAUGGGUAAUUAUAAUUUACAAUGGUUUUUAAGUUUGAGCUAAUGGAUUUCUUUUCUUGCACACUUUUUCUUCUAAUAUUUCUCAUCCUAAAUGCUAACACUGAUAACCCAGCUGCUAAGCGGAAAACCUGGGCAUUGCCCUUGAUUCUCUUCUUACCCUCAGCCUCACACUUAACAAGCUCUGUGAUUGCUAUCAUAUCCUCUGUCUCCACAGCAGUUCUGCUGCUGUGCAAGUGUAAACCCCACCAUUUCUUUCUUGGACCACUGCAAUGGUCCCCAACAAGUUUCUCUAUUUUUAUUCUUGCCUUUCUUCAAUCUUUUCUGUUCACAGCUGCCAGAAUAAUCUAAAUGCACAGAGAGAUCAUGAUAUUCUACUGCUUAAACCCUGUUUUGGCUCUCUCAACCUUCACAGGUAACCUACUUCCUUCCCAGGGUCUACAAGAGCCUCUUUGUAGUCUGGCCCUCACCUCUCUCCAAUCCAGGUCUGCCCUUCCGUUCAUUCACUAUAACCCAGCUGUGUUGGUUUUCCUUCAGUUCUUAAAAAACACUGUGCUUCUCUUCCCCUCCUGGCCCCUAUUCUUGCAGUUUCUUCAGUGUGGGAUGAACUUCCUCUGGCUCGUUGAAUGGCUGGCUGCUUCUUACCCUGCUUGUCUUGCUUAUUUUUGAAGAAACUGUUCCUGAACCCCCUACCUCAGUAGUUUUCCCUUACAUCCCCUCCUCCAGCACUUCAUCUGCUUUGCAUGUUU
Molecule: long non-coding RNA, 6909 nt
Organism: Manis pentadactyla (Chinese pangolin)
Lineage: Eukaryota; Metazoa; Chordata; Mammalia; Pholidota; Manidae
Exons: 4
Source: RefSeq, a predicted model, not a curated record